RNAcentral lists this transfer RNA (73 nucleotides) under Symphyocladiella dendroidea. RNAcentral's name for it is "tRNA-Met". It matches the Rfam family "tRNA". Rfam says of the family: Transfer RNA (tRNA) molecules are approximately 80 nucleotides in length. Their secondary structure includes four short double-helical elements and three loops (D, anti-codon, and T loops). The record is from RNAcentral. Lineage: Eukaryota; Rhodophyta; Florideophyceae; Ceramiales; Rhodomelaceae.
AACGAGAUAGUUUAAUGGUUAGAACAUUAGAAUCAUAAUCUAAUAAUUAUUGGUUCAAGUCCAAUUCUCGUUA